UGUCUCGUCAAUAUUACUGACACCUAGCGACUAUUGUAAUAUACUACUCUACUGUACCUUUUGUAGUUAAAGAGAGACUCACGAUGCAUUCAAAUUGCUUCAUUUACAAGCAGAUAACACAUAUCAGUGAACAUACACAUACACACAGGAGCUGCUGUCGGCCACUCUCCACACUGCUAACUUAUUGCUAAUUAAGGCUCAGCUAUCGUCAACUCUAGCAAGCUGAUGUCACACACAUCAUUUCCUAGGUCCUGUUUCUUAAAGGCACAAACAAGUCACAGAUUCCCAUGUAAAAAAUCGAUUUGGAAAAAUUUUGGAGAAAAGGUGACGCAGAAGAGGGGAAAAUAUCAGAGGUGGUAGUGAGGAGCACACACUGGGGGAAGAUGAUGAAAUGAAGAUGACAGAAAGGUGACAGGAAUAACCGAAAGCCCACGCUCGACUUUCACAGUCUAACGUUAUGAUUCACAUAACAAAACUCCAAUGCUCCAAAAAAAAAAAAUCUGUGUCCAGCACCGACCGGACUGGGGGAGAUGAGAGAAGGCGUGUACUAGUAAGGGAGGGAUAUAGCGCUAUUCCCUGGGUAACGGGCCUUGGCGAAGGAACUGAGAGGUGUUUUGGCUUGUGUUGCAUUCGGGGAGAGUGCAGUUCUCCCAGAAGGAGGCUAUAAAAAGACAAAGGAGACAGGAGGCCAUGUGGAGAGACUGUUGAAAGGGAGCAAAAACACCCACUCCUAAAAUCCCACCACAGCCACCAUCACACCACCACUGGGAAGGACACACAUAUCAA
Doryrhamphus excisus (bluestripe pipefish) is the source of this 786-nucleotide non-coding RNA. The record is from RefSeq and is a predicted model, not a curated record. Lineage: Eukaryota; Metazoa; Chordata; Actinopteri; Syngnathiformes; Syngnathidae.